AUUGCUUCUCAGCCUUUUGGCUAAGAUCAAGUACAAAGACAUCAUAUUGCUUUUUGAGCCUUUUUCUGUUAAUUUGAUGUAUCACAUUUAUUGAUUUACAUACGUCAAACCAUCCUUGCUUCCUGGGAUGAAUCCCUC
RNAcentral lists this small nuclear RNA (138 nucleotides) under Fukomys damarensis (Damara mole-rat). RNAcentral's name for it is "U2 spliceosomal RNA". It matches the Rfam family "U2 spliceosomal RNA". From Rfam's summary of the family: U2 is a small nuclear RNA (snRNA) component of the spliceosome (involved in pre-mRNA splicing). Complementary binding between U2 snRNA (in an area lying towards the 5' end but 3' to hairpin I) and the branchpoint sequence (BPS) of the intron results the bulging out of an unpaired adenosine, on the BPS, which initiates a nucleophilic attack at the intronic 5' splice site, thus starting the first of two transesterification reactions that mediate splicing. Lineage: Eukaryota; Metazoa; Chordata; Mammalia; Rodentia; Bathyergidae. The record is from Rfam by way of RNAcentral.